This is a long non-coding RNA of Hypanus sabinus (Atlantic stingray), 166 nucleotides long. RefSeq lists it as uncharacterized. The record is from RefSeq and is a predicted model, not a curated record. The transcript is spliced from 3 exons. NCBI's taxonomy places the organism in Eukaryota, Metazoa, Chordata, Chondrichthyes, Myliobatiformes, Dasyatidae.
AUUUUGUUUCCUCAGGCACCUUCGAUACAAAGACCGUAAACUCAUCAGAAUAUUAUGAAAAUGUCCAAAUGGAUGAACAGGGUGCAAGGAACAAUGCGCAGGAUGGAGACUCCACUUACACGGGUCUUAUCCUGGAGUAUCGAUCUGUUUACCGUGAUCUGAACAG